ACGGGUGGUAAUGCCGGAUGCUCCAUCACACCGCAUGGUGUGUUGGGAAAGCCUUUGCGGCAUGGGAUGGGGUCGCGUCCUAUCAGCUUGAUGGCGGGGUAACGGCCCACCAUGGCUUCGACGGGUAGCCGGCCUGAGAGGGCGACCGGCCACAUUGGGACUGAGAUACGGCCCAGACUCCUACGGGAGGCAGCAGUGGGGAAUAUUGCACAAUGGGCGCAAGCCUGAUGCAGCGACGCCGCGUGAGGGAUGGAGGCCUUCGGGUUGUAAACCUCUUUUGUUAGGGAGCAAGGCACUUUGUGUUGAGUGUACCUUUCGAAUAAGCACCGGCUAACUACGUGCCAGCAGCCGCGGUAAUACGUAGGGUGCAAGCGUUAUCCGGAAUUAUUGGGCGUAAAGGGCUCGUAGGCGGUUCGUCGCGUCCGGUGUGAAAGUCCAUCGCUUAACGGUGGAUCCGCGCCGGGUACGGGCGGGCUUGAGUGCGGUAGGGGAGACUGGAAUUCCCGGUGUAACGGUGGAAUGUGUAGAUAUCGGG
RNAcentral lists this ribosomal RNA (535 nucleotides) under Bifidobacterium breve. Its description in RNAcentral is "bacterial SSU rRNA". It matches the Rfam family "Bacterial small subunit ribosomal RNA", at positions 156 to 701 of the family's 1533-position model. Lineage: Bacteria; Bacillati; Actinomycetota; Actinomycetes; Bifidobacteriales; Bifidobacteriaceae. The record is from RNAcentral.